Jatropha curcas is the source of this 4430-nucleotide non-coding RNA. Lineage: Eukaryota; Viridiplantae; Streptophyta; Magnoliopsida; Malpighiales; Euphorbiaceae. The record is from RefSeq and is a predicted model, not a curated record.
UCUAUGAAUUACAUAAUUACCCCCUGUAAACUACUUGUCGUUUACGCCAUCAACGCCAAGCAUUUUGAGCUUGUGACCAACCAUUAGUAACAAACGGUUGUUCCCUUUAUAAGAUACCGGUCGUCUUCUCCAUUCCAGAAGGAAGAACGCGCAACAGAAGCCAGAGAGAAAAAGAACUUCAGAGCAAGCUGUAAAGUGUGGAAUUUCUAAUUAUUAGAAUGUGAAUCGAGAUAAUGUACAAGUAUAGCAUUGAAGAAUUUUAUUCUCUCUUUCUAUGAUUAUUAUUUGAAGUAUUCUGGUUCAAAAAUUUCUGCUUUAUGGUCACCAAUUGUAAAAUUCUGGAGGAGGAGAGAGUGCAAUUGGAAGUAUUCGGAAGGUUUUUCGCUUUUACUUCUUAUUCAACAUGAAAUGACAGGAUUUCCCUUGAACAUAGAUUAUGGCAGGCAACCUGUUCGAAAAUAUGCUCGAACCGGAUUCCACCAAGAGGAACACCAUAAGCAAUAGCUGGUUCUAUGGAGAUUUUUGGCAUACACAUCAUUACCACGUUCUUGCAUCCAUUCUCAAAUCCUGUGCUGCCCACUCAGCCAUAAAAUUGGGCAAGGCUCUACACAGCACCGUUCUGAAACUAGGCCAUCUUUCCUGCCAUCAGGUGUCAAAAUCACUGCUUAACAUGUAUGCCAAAUGUGGAGCUCUUAGGGAUUGCAAGAAACUAUUUGGUGAAGUGGUUAACUGUGAUCAUGAUCCUGUCUUUUGGAAUAUUCUCUUAUCUGGGUUUUCUGGGUCUCGCAAUAAUGAUGCUGAGACCUUAAGUUUAUUUAAUAGAAUGCAUUUUGCCAGUAAAGUGAAGCCUAGUUCUGUUACUGCUGCUAUCAUUCUUCCUGUUUGUGCUCGCAUGGGAGAUAUAUAUGCGGGUAAGAGUGUUCACUGCUAUAUGAUUAAAUCUGGGAUGGAGAUGCAUACACUUGUUGGAAAUGCUCUGGUCUCAAUGUAUGCUAAAUGUGGGCUCGUUCAAAAUGAUGCAUAUGCUGCUUUUGAUAGCAUUAAUGAGAAAGAUGUAGUUUCAUGGAAUGCCAUGAUUGCAGGGUUUUCUGAGAAUAAGUUAAUGGAUAAAGCGUUCAGAUUAUUUAUUUUGAUGCUGAAAAGUCGAAUACAACCAAAUCAUGCAACUAUUGCUAAUAUUCUGCCUGUCUGUGCAUCUUUGGAUAGGAAUGCUGCCUACCUCUUUGGGAAAGAGAUCCACAGUUAUACCCUGCGGCACAAUGAGUUGUUAGCAGAUGUUUCUGUCUGUAAUGCUUUGAUGAGCUUCUACUUGGUAGUUGGACGGGUAAAGGAAGCAGAAUUAUUGUUUCGACGGAUGGAAUUGAGAGAUUUGAUUUCAUGGAAUGCAAUAAUUUCAGGAUAUGCAUCGAAUGGUGAGUGGUCAAAAGCUUUGGAAUUAUUUCAGGAGUUACUUUCUUUAGACAUGAGUGAACCAGAUUCUGUCACCCUUGUCAGUAUUCUUCCUGCCUGUGCACAACUUAAAAACUUGAAGAUUGGUAGGGAGAUCCAUAGUUAUAUUCUUCGACAUCCUUACUUAUGGCAGGAUACAUCUGUUGGAAAUGCUUUGCUUAGUUUUUAUGCAAAAUGUGACAAAAAAGAAGCAGCAUAUAAUACAUUUUUUAUGAUUUCUAAUAAAGAUUUGAUAUCAUGGAAUUCUAUGCUUGAUGCCUUUGCGGAGGGUGGACACAUUACUCAGUUUCUGAAAUUGCUACAGUGGAUGCUUAGGGAAGGAAUUAGACCUGACUCCAUUACCAUAUUAACCAUACUUCAUUUUUGUGCAUUUUUGUUAAAAUUGGACAAGGUUAAAGAGACUCAUUGCUACGCGCUUAGGCAUGGUCUCUUACUAUCUGAUAUUGAACCCAUAACUAGAAAUGCAAUACUUGACACUUAUGCCAAAUGUGGUAAUAUUGAGUAUUCAUUUAAGAUUUUCCAUGGUUUAUCAGAAGUGGGGAAUUUGGUUACUUUCAAUUCAAUGAUCUCUGGUUAUGUGAAUUGUGGAUUAUAUGAUGAUGCACGUAUGAUUUUCAACAGGAUGCCUGCCACUGAUCUCACUACUUGGAAUCUAAUGAUUCGAGGGUACGCUGAAAAUGAUUGUCCUGAUCAGUCAAUUGAUCUGUUCUGUCAGCUACAAGCUAGAGGACUGAAGCCUGAUGCAGUUACCAUUAUGAGUCUUCUUCCAGCUUGUUCUCAAAUUGCUUCUGUACAUUUUAUGAAACAGUGUCAUGGGUAUGUCACUAGAGCUUGUUUUAGUGAUGCCCACUUGGAAGGAGCUCUUUUAGAUGUAUAUGCAAAAUGUGGCAAUAUAGAUUAUGCUAUUAAGCUUUUCCGAUCAAACAGAGGGAGAGAUAUAGUUACAUUCACUGCUAUGGUUGGUGGUUGCGCCAUGCAUGGUAUGGCAGAGGAAGCACUCAGGAUUUUCUCUCACAUGCUUGAGUUGGGAGUAAAGCCAGAUCACAUUAUCAUUACUUCUGUUUUAUCUGCUUGCCGUCAUGCUGGUCUGGUGGAUGAAGGGUUGAAGAUAUUCUAUUCAAUAGAGAAGGUUCAUGGAAUGAGACCAACAAUGGAACAAUACUCUUGUGUGGUGGAUCUCCUUGCUCGGGCAGGUCGAAUUGAUGAUGCAUAUUCUUUAGUGACUGGGAUGCCCAUUGAAGCUAAUGCAAAUGUAUGGGGCACAUUGCUGGGUGCCUGCAGGGUCUAUCAUGAGGUAGAAAUAGGACAUGCUGUGGCUGAGCAUCUAUUUAAAAUUGAAGCAAACAAUAUUGGAAACUAUGUAGUUUUGUCAAAUCUCUUUGCAGCAGAUGCUAGAUGGGAUGUGGUAAUGGAAAUAAGGAAAUUAAUGAGAAUGAGAGGCUUAAAAAAGCCAGCUGGAUGUAGUUGGAUUGAAUUGGAGAGGAGAAAGAAUGUAUUUGUUGCCGGAGACUCGUCUCACCCUCAAAGGACCAAUAUUUACAGCGUAUUAAGCAUUUUGGAUUUACAAAGUAAAGAGCCAUUUGUAUUAAAGCAACAAGUUGGUUCACAUCUUCUGGAGUGUUGCACGUGAAGGAAAGGGGAGUUGCUUAUAAAACUUGAAAAGGAGAAUUCAACUGCUUUGAUACGCACACAGACCAAUUAACUUGGGGAAAAGAUGAAGCUCAAAUUAGCAGAGGUGCAAUGUCUAAAUCAAGGUUUCUCAAUUGUGGUGGGGGAUCUCAAAGGAAACAAUGUAAGCAGCACAGGUUCUGCAUAUCCUGGUCUAGAUCUAGGUGAUGGAUGCAAGUAAAAACGCCUCUCUUUGAUGGCUUUCUCUUCUUCCUCACUAUUUAAUUCAGAAAUUUUGUCCUCCAGUUCCUGUAUCGACAAUUUUGAGAAAAUUGUGGAAGGGGUGCCAACAGGACUUGGUAGAAGAGAAGGAUUCCGUGAUGUAGUUGGUGAUGUCAAAGGUUUGAAGUUAACCGGGGGUUUAAUUAUUUCAAGCUUGGGUCUUAGAUGCUGCCUUCUUUCAUGGAGUUUAGAUGUUGGUCUCCUUAUGCCUGCAACCUUUGUAGCUGCUGUUCCCUGCACUGCAUCACUCUCUGAUGGGCCAGUUAACCGCUGCACAAUCUCUCGAAAAGCAUUUGUAUCUGUUUGCACAAAAGUAGUUACAGGUUUACAACCAGCUGGAGCUUGGCUUGCUGGCUUCUCCAUGGACGUGUAUCUCUUGAACAAUCUAAUUUGUGUAAAUGAUCUGCAACAAGUUCCAGUGUAUGAAAUGGGACUGUUGUCUAUCAUGAUUCAUGAAUUUGCCUCAUCGGACAUUGAUCUAGAUGGGUCCCUACAGAGCUCUGUGCGGGUUUCACUGGAUUAAACGGUUGAAAUGGUGCAGGUUGAACAGGAACAAUUGCACCAAGCAAUUCUCUUCUCUCAGGAACUCUAAAAAUUUCAGUAAGACAUCUGCCAAUGCAACUUCAAAUGCAAUGCCAUGAAAUUUAACAAUCAGCAACAUGAAAUUAAAAUGACUUCAGAAGGUGAACAAGAAGAAGAGAAAAUUCUACAAGAGAAGUUCAUACCUGAUUCUGCACCUCCAAGAGAAAUGAAGAUAUUGGAAAUUUCAGCAGGGAAAUUGAAAGAGAAUAAAAUGGGAGAAGAAAAGAAGUGCCACAAAGGAGCUAAACACAAAAGACAAGGAUAUGUAUUUAGCUCCUUUUGUAUAUCUCAAAAAAAAAGGGUUUUUUGUAGAUGUAUAUAUGCAAUUGAAAGCAUACGAAUUAUGAUAAGAAAGUUGCUAAAAAUAGGCGUUUUUGUCAGUAACAUUUCAAUAUCUAAAUAUACCAAAUGAUUGUUAAGAAGAGGAACAAUACAAUUGAACAAGUAUUUCCUGCUUUGGCAGAUGGAUAAAUAUAACUGCAGUGACUGACAACUUAUUAGUUAUGUAA